This 349-nucleotide unclassified non-coding RNA is filed under the name soil metagenome. RNAcentral's name for it is "partial contains 5.8S ribosomal RNA, internal transcribed spacer 2, and large subunit ribosomal RNA". The stretch from base 1 to 120 matches the Rfam family "5.8S ribosomal RNA", at positions 35 to 154 of the family's 154-position model. The record is from RNAcentral.
GAUGAAGAACGUAGCGAAAUGCGAAAAGUAAUGUGAAUUGCAGAAUUCAGUGAAUCAUCGAAUCUUUGAACGCACAUUGCGCCCGCCAGUUUUCUGGCGGGCAUGCCUGUCUGAGCGUCAUUUCAACCCUCACGCCCCUAGGGCGUGGUGUUGGGGAUCGGCCAGCGCCCUCGCGGGCGAGGCCGUCCCCUAAAUCUAGUGGCGGACCCGUCGUGGCCUCCCCUGCGAAGUAGUGAUAUUCCGCAUCGGAGAGCGAUGAGCCCCUGCCGUUAAACCCCCAACUUUCCAAGGUUGACCUCAGAUCAGGUAGGAAUACCCGCUGAACUUAAGCAUAUCAAUAAGCGGAGGA